This 1686-nucleotide ribosomal RNA is filed under the name Lophiomus setigerus (blackmouth angler). Its description in RNAcentral is "16S rRNA". The stretch from base 97 to 1578 matches the Rfam family "Bacterial large subunit ribosomal RNA". Lineage: Eukaryota; Metazoa; Chordata; Actinopteri; Lophiiformes; Lophiidae. The record is from RNAcentral.
CACUCAACAGCUAGCCACCCAUCUAAUCACAACAGAUAAGUAUAAAUAACCCCUAAGACACCCCCGUUUUUAUAAACAAACCAUUUUUCCCCCUUAGUACGGGCGACAGAAAAGGACCUUCGAGCGAUAGACUAAGUACCGCAAGGGAACGCUGAAAGAGAAAUGAAAGAACCCCACGACGUUUAAAAAAGCAGAGAUUCAACUCGUACCUUUUGCAUCAUGUUUUAACCAGCAACACCCAAGCAAAGUGCCCUUUAGUUUGGGCCCCCGAAACUAAGCGAGCUACUCCAAGACAGCCUUCAUAAAGGGCAAACCCGUCUCUGUGGCAAAAGAGUGGGAAGAGCUUUGAGUAGAGGUGACAAGCCUACCGAGCUUAGUUAUAGCUGGUUCCCUGGGAAAUGGAUAGGAGUCCAACCCCCUAGGUUCUUUCACCCAUUUUGAUACUCAAGGCCCAAAGAUACUAGGUGAGCAAGUGGAAAGGGGAACAGCCCUUUCUACCAAAGACACAACUUUUAUAGGAGGAUAAAGAUCAUAAUAUUUUAAGGAAAAGUACUGUUGGUGGGCCUAAGAGCAGCCACCCCUAUAGAAAGCGUUAAAGCUCAAGUAUAGUACUACCCAUACAUCCCGAAAACUUAAUCUGAACCCCCUAAAGACUACCAGGGAGCCCUAUUCAUAUAGGAGCUAUACUGUUAAUAUGAGUAAUAAGAAAGUACCCUACAAGGCUUUCUCCUAGCACCCGUGUACAUCGGAACGAACCCCCACCGAAAAUCAACGGUCCCAACCCAAAGAGGGCACUGAAUAAAAACCAGAAAGACCAGAAAAAUAUUCAAUGCAUACCGUUAACCUCACACUAGAGUGCCCCCAAGGAAAGACUAAAAGAUGGGGAAGGAACUCGGCAAACACCCAAGCCUCGCCUGUUUACCAAAAACAUCGCCUCUUGUACCCUACAAAUAAGAGGUCCUGCCUGCCCUGUGACACAUAGUUUAACGGCCGCGGUAUUUUAACCGUGCGAAGGUAGCGUAAUCACUUGUCUUUUAAAUGAGGACCAGUAUGAAUGGCAAAACGAGGGCUUAACUGUCUCCCCCCUCCAGUCAAUGAAAUUGAUCUCCCCGUGAAGAAGCGGGGAUACACCCAUAAGACGAGAAGACCCUAUGGAGCUUUAGACACUAAGGCAGCUUACGUUAAAAAUCCUGCACCAAGGCCCUAAACUAAAUAAUUCCUGACCUGACGUCUUCGGUUGGGGCGACCGCGGGGGAAAGAAAAACCCCCACGUGGACUGGGAGUACCUCUCCUAUCACCCCGAGCUACCGCUCUAAUGUAUCAGAACCCUUCUGACCAUAAAUGAUCCGGCGCAAGCCGAUUAACGAAACAAGUUACCCUAGGGAUAACAGCGCAAUCCCCUUUUAGAGACCCUAUCGACAAGGGAGUUUACGACCUCGAUGUUGGAUCAGGACAUCCUAAUGGUGCACCCGCUAUUAAGGGUUCGUUUGUUCAACGAUUAAAGUCCUACGUGAUCUGAGUUCAGACCGGAGUAAUCCAGGUCGGUUUCUAUCUAUGAUGUGAUCUUUUCUAGUACGCAAGGACCGAAAAGAAGAGGCCCCUGUUACCAACACGCCCCUCUCUAACCUGAUGCCACCAACUUAAUCUGAUAAUAGAGCACAACACUUCCCCAAAAGAGAAUUGGAU